This 301-nucleotide ribosomal RNA is filed under the name uncultured bacterium. Its description in RNAcentral is "partial 16S ribosomal RNA". It matches the Rfam family "Bacterial small subunit ribosomal RNA", at positions 509 to 807 of the family's 1533-position model. The record is from RNAcentral.
CAGCCGCCGCGGGAAUACGUAGGGUGCAAGCGUUAAUCGGAAUUACUGGGCGUAAAGCGUGCGCAGGCGGUUCGUUAAGAUAGAUGUGAAAUCCCCGGGCUUAACCUGGGAACUGCAUUUGUGACUGGCGGGCUAGAGUAUGGCAGAGGGGGGUAGAAUUCCACGUGUAGCAGUGAAAUGCGUAGGGAUGUGGAGGAAUACCGAUGGCGAAGGCAGCCCCCUGGGCCAAUACUGACGCUCAUGCACGAAAGCGUGGGGAGCAAACAGGAUUAGAUACCCGUGUAGUCCCUGUCUCUUAUAC